RNAcentral lists this ribosomal RNA (233 nucleotides) under uncultured bacterium. Its description in RNAcentral is "partial 16S ribosomal RNA". It matches the Rfam family "Bacterial small subunit ribosomal RNA", at positions 15 to 238 of the family's 1533-position model. The record is from RNAcentral.
GACCCUGGCUCAGGACGAACGCUGGCGGCGUGCCUAAUACAUGCAAGUAGAACGCUGGAAGGAGAAGCUUGCUUCUCUGGAUGAGUUGCGAACGGGUGAGUAACGCGUAGGUAACCUGCCUGGUAGCGGGGGAUAACUAUUGGGAAACGAUAGCUAAUACCGCAUAAUAGUAGAUGUUGCAUGACAUUUGCUUAAAAGGUGCAAUUGCAUCACUACCAGAUGGACCUGCGUUG